GCUAGCGGCAGGCCUAACACAUGCAAGUCGAGGGGCAUCGGGGUAGCAAUACUGCCGGCGACCGGCGCACGGGUGCGUAACGCGUAUGCAACCUACCUUUAACAGGGAGAUAGCCCCGAGAAAUCGGGAUUAAUACCCCAUAGUAUUUUAGAUUGGCAUCAAUUUAGAAUUAAAGCUCCGGCGGUUAAAGAUGGGCAUGCGUGACAUUAGUUAGUUGGUGAGGUAACGGCUCACCAAGACAUCGAUGUCUAGGGGUUCUGAGAGGAUGAUCCCCCACACUGGUACUGAGACACGGACCAGACUCCUACGGGAGGCAGCAGUGAGGAAUAUUGGUCAAUGGACGCAAGUCUGAACCAGCCAUGCCGCGUGCAGGAAGACGGCCCUAUGGGUUGUAAACUGCUUUUAAUUAGGAAUAACCGCCUGGAUGUAUCCGGGUCUGAAAGUACUAAAAGAAUAAGCAUCGGCUAACUCCGUGCCAGCAGCCGCGGUAAUACGGAGGA
This 500-nucleotide ribosomal RNA is filed under the name uncultured bacterium TX2. RNAcentral's name for it is "bacterial SSU rRNA". It matches the Rfam family "Bacterial small subunit ribosomal RNA", at positions 35 to 532 of the family's 1533-position model. Lineage: Bacteria; Pseudomonadati; Bacteroidota. The record is from RNAcentral.